This 768-nucleotide long non-coding RNA is filed under the name Salmo salar (Atlantic salmon). Its description in RNAcentral is "lncRNA (ENSSSAG00000112006.1)". The record is from RNAcentral. Lineage: Eukaryota; Metazoa; Chordata; Actinopteri; Salmoniformes; Salmonidae.
CACUUCCUAACACAGCCUAAUCACGGCUACAUCAGAUAAUGUCGGCAUUAAUGUCCACCCCCCCACCUGCUGUUAUCCCCACCUCCCGCUCCGACUCAGCGUGUGUGCGCACAGAUUACAGUGACAAGUUCCACUCUAAAGGAACUGUGGCUCCUCAGGCGUCCAAAAAACGUAACAAUGAGUUCAAGCCUUUGGAUGGUCACAUGUCCAAUACCACCACCUUCAGAAGGGGUAUGGUGUGGCAUCCAUGCUGUAUGUAGGCUUAAAUUCAUCGAACCACCUUCCGCUCCCAGUACACUGCCAAGAAUGCCCCCCAGGCCACCAGCUUCAAGCCAGCCCAGAUGGUAAUGAGAUCUCAGACUAUAGAUGACAGCACCGUGUGUCGCACCAGCUACACCAUCAGAGAGCUCCGGCCCUGCCCAGCCCAGCUUCAGUGAUCCGCCCAGCUUCGAGUACAAGUCGUUGGGUAAAAAAGGCCACAUCCUCUACCGCACCGUGUCAGCAGGAGAGAAGGGCGUGACCUAUCCAUCCGCUGCCAACGCCACCGGUGCCAAGCCCAGCCACAUCGCCAAGACCAGACCGGUUAGAUCGGCCAUCCUACGUAGAGGAAAAAUAAUUUUUGGAUAAUAAUCAAAAAUAAUCCAUUAGGUACCAGAAUAAAAGGACACAGAUUUGAUAUCAGGGCUAUUUCUUGCACCAGAAAUAUAAUACCUAAUAUACUGCCUGUUGUUUGUAUUCAGAGGUAACAUGAAGAUCUGCAAAUUGAAG